GUCCCCGCACAAGCAGCGGAGCGUGUGGUUUAAUUCGAGGUUACGCGAAGAACCUUACCAGGGUUUGACAUGCUAGUGGUAGUGAAGCGAAAGCGGAACGACCCUUCGGGGAGCUAGCACAGGUGCUGCAUGGCUGUCGUCAGCUCGUGUCGUGAGAUGUCAGGUUAAGUCCUGUAACGAGCGCAACCCUCGUCGUUAGUUAUAAGUGUCUAACGAGACUGCCCGUGAUAAGCGGGAGGAAGGUGAGGAUGAUGUCAAGUCAGCAUGGCCUUUAUAUCCUGGGCUACACACACGCUACAAUGGCCAGUACAAUGGGUUGCCAAGUCGCGAGACGGAGCCAAUCCCUCAAAGCUGGUCUCAGUUCGGAUUGCAGGCUGCAACUCGCCUGCAUGAAGUCGGAGUUGCUAGUAACCGCGCGUCAGCACAGUGCGGUGAAUACGUUCCCGGGGAUU
Molecule: ribosomal RNA, 452 nt
Filed under: uncultured bacterium
Lineage: Bacteria
Description: bacterial SSU rRNA
Rfam family: Bacterial small subunit ribosomal RNA
Source: RNAcentral